AAUCACCGGACAUGCCCGUGAGCCAUCCAGGACCACCAGCCCCCAGUCAAUCCACCAGCUGACUACUACCAGAAAGCUGCCUGUGCUUUAAGGAAGACUGUAUACACCGUCUUUAGAGCCUUUGGGGAAAGAAUGAAGAAUUAUGCUCCCUGGCUGCAUCUAAGAAAACAAACAUACAAAUAAUCAAAAGAAAUAAAAAGAAUCCUACUGGCAAACUCAUCUAGUUAAACUACAUUCCACAGUGGAGGGGCAGGAACAGCUUCUUUCCUCCUUUCCUAGAAGGCAAAAAUAGAGACAAAAGCAGUAAGAAAAGGACAGCAUUAUAGCUUCCUGUUCAGCUAAUAUGAUUGUUUCAUCACAAAUAUUUUUUAGUUGCUGCAGUGCUUCAACAGACAACAUAAACUGAACUAACAGACCAGGAAUUAAGCCAAGAACUCUUCAGAGGCCAUCUGAUUUAAUUCUCCCUGCACUUCUGGGAAGAGAAUGUGCUCUGAUGCCCAUGGUACAAACGAAGAAACUGGACUUAAACCGCUUAAAUAACUUGCCCAGGAGAAUAUUUAACUAGUAAAGUGGUGGGGCUGGAAUUUGAAUCCAGGCAGUCUAGAUUCCAAACCACGGGUCUACACUCUUAACUAAAGUGCUACACUGCUUCCUAAAUGAAGAGCUGGAACAAAACACUGUGUAAGGAGUGCUUUAUAUUUUAGGAUCCUACUUUGGAUGAUGGGAAGGGAUAGCUUGGCUUUUAUUUUAACUGUCCUCUGGAGGCCUUGAAACUAAAAAGAAAAGGUGCGACCAUUAGGCUGCUUUCAUGUUGGAGUCCAUCAUUUAAAAUUAUUUUCCAGGAGUUCCCUUUGUGGCUCAGUGGCUAAUGAAUCCAACUAGGAACCAGGAGGUCGUGGGUUCGAUCCCUGGCCUUGCUCAGUGGGUUAAGGAUCCAGUGUUGCUGUGAGCUGUGGUGUAGGUUGCAGACGUGACUCGGAUCCUGUGUUGCUGUGGCUCUGGUGUAGGCCGGUGGCUACAGCUCCGAUUAGACCCCAACCCUGGGAACCUCCAUAAGCCUCCAGGGCAGCCCUAUAAAGACAAUAAAAAAAUAAUAAUAAUAAUUUUAUUUUCCAUUGUUUUUAGUUGUUAAGCGUUGGAUUCAUAGGAGGGAAUGAUGUAUCUUCAUAGUAAUGAAACCUGGUUAAUAUCAGAAUAUGAGAGAUAAGGCCCCCUUCUAUUCCAGAAAAAUUAUAAACAGGAUCCCAAUGCAUGAGAUUAAAAAGGCUCAUAGAUUCACACAACCACCACAAGCUGAGACCUGAACAAGAUAGAACCCACUUGUAACUCAAUUUAUUAAGUCAAUCAAAUGAACUCCCAUACUUGAAGUGCCUUGCAUAUUGUAAAGUGUUGUACAAAUAUACAAAGAGUUCAUUGUUUUUUUGCUAAAUCAAUUCUUUAGGAAUGUAGACAGGAUAGGAAAAAAAAACGGCAGGGCCGUAAAGCCAACAGAGAUUGAAUUUCAUGAUUGAUUCUAUUAUGUGGUUCAUGCCUUAUAGCAAAACAUCCUGGGAAUAUCUUCAGUCUCCUUUGUCAACUUGAUGAGAGCCUCAUGCUUUAACAACUAUUGACAUGACAAGCUGCAUACUUGAGUCUCUCGUAGAGCUCUGUGUAAUAUUAUAAAACAGAGAUGUGGUUCCAUAUUUUCCCAAGUCAUUUAAAUUUUCUCAGUUUCCUUCUCUGUAAAAUGGUUAUUGUAGGAUAGUUGUGAGAUAAGGAUAAAUGUAUAUGAAGAUGCUGCUAUAAGAAUUCAUGCAUUUAUUUGUGUUAUACUUCUUUGAUGUGGAAAAUAUGUACCAAGACCUUACUCCAACAUAGUAAAUUCAAAACCUGGGCCUCUAAGCCAGUGUUUCCCAAAAGGCCUCAUUACAGUCUGUUUGCAACAAAAUUGGAAGGAUAUAAACACUCCAUCCUCAACAAGCUCUCUCUGUCCUUGCAGUGCUCCCCUGGCCCCGCUUUCCCUUUCUUCUACCUUUUUGCAGAUUCCUUAGCAGCUACAGUCAUAUAUCCAGCCAACAUUAGUAUUUUAUUACCGCAAAUAGUGCUCUCCCACUGUCUCCCUACGACCUUUAUUUUCCCUUGUUUGCUGAAAUGUGCUGAAUGAUGAGUCAGUCCGUGGCUUAACACAUGAAAAUAUAAUGGUUUUCUCAGAAAUCGGAAUAGAGAAGCGUCUUUGGUUAAACCACUGUUGAUAUUUAAAAACAGAAUGCGCCUUUUAAAAGUUACAAAGAGGAGUUCCACAUGUGGCUCAGUGGUAACAAACCCAGCUAGCAUCCAUGAGGAUUUGGGUUCGAUCCCUGGCCUCGCUCAUUGGCUUAAGGAUCUGAUGUUGCUGUGAGCUGUGGUGUAGGUUGCACACACAGAUCAGAUCCCGAGUAUCUGUGGCUGUGGUGUAGGCCAGCAGCUGCAGCUCUGAUUCGACCCCUACCCUGGGAACUUCCAUAUGCUGAGGGUGUGACCUUAAAAAAAAAUUUGCAAAGAAUGUGUUGCUAUUAAUAAACAUUCUCUAAGUAUUAAUUGAAGCAAACUCCCCAUAACUCAAAAUGUGUGUUUGCUUUUUAUUUAUUUAUUUGGUCUCUUUAGGAUCCGCCAUGGUUUCAGCUUUGGGACCACACUCUGGUCAAGUCCAUGCAGGCAGGAGCCAGAUAUCUUUAGGAAUUGUCAGGAGGCACCACCUUGGAAGUAAAAGGAGGGAAAGAAAGCAGGAAGAGGCUCCCUGUGUGUGGCUCACUGUUAAAGGGCGAGAUUAUAAUUUUAUUUGUUUAUUUGAUUUUUAGGGCCUCACCUGCAGCAUAUGGAAGUUCCCAGGCAAGGAUCGAAUCAGAGUUGCAGCUGCCAGCCUACGCCACAGCCACAGCAACGUGGGGUCCCAGCCACGUCUGCAGUCUACACCAUAGCUCAUGGCCGUGCCGGAUCACCAACCCACUGAUCGAGGCCAGGGAUUGAACCUGCAUCCUCACAGAUACUAGUCGAAUUUGUUUCCACCGUGUCACAAUGGGAACUCCCUACAUUUUUCUUUUUUACGUGGUUACAGUCUACAGAGUUAUUGAGCUAGUUGGGACUGAGUCCAACAUUCUCUAACUCCAAAGCUCUGCAGUUCCUCUUUUUAAAAAUUAAAAACUUUUUUUUUAAAUUAAAAAUUAUGUAUUUUCAUUUUUUUAAACUUUAAAAUUAAGAAAAAUUAAAUGAGGAGUUCCCGUCGUGGCGCAGUGGUUAACGAAUCCGACUAGGAACCAUGAGGUUGCGGGUUCGAUCCCUGCCCUUGCUCAGUGGGUGAAGGAUCCGGCGUUGCCGUGAGCUGUGGUGUAGGUUGCAGACGCGGCUCGGAUCCUGUGUUGCUGUGGCUCUGGUGUAGGCCGGUGGCUACAGCUCCGAUUGGACCCCUAGGCUGGGAACCUCCAUAUGCCGCAGGAGCGGCCCAAGAAAUAGCAAAAAGACAAAAAAAAAAAAAAAAAAAAAAAAA
RNAcentral lists this long non-coding RNA (3502 nucleotides) under Sus scrofa (pig). Its description in RNAcentral is "lncRNA (ENSSSCG00055008169.1)". The record is from RNAcentral. Lineage: Eukaryota; Metazoa; Chordata; Mammalia; Artiodactyla; Suidae.